GAUGAACGCUGGCGGCGUGCCUAAUACAUGCAAGUCGAGCGAACAGACGAGGAGCUUGCUCCUCUGACGUUAGCGGCGGACGGGUGAGUAACACGUGGAUAACCUACCUAUAAGACUGGGAUAACUUCGGGAAACCGGAGCUAAUACCGGAUAAUAUAUUGAACCGCAUGGUUCAAUAGUGAAAGACGGUUUUGCUGUCACUUAUAGAUGGAUCCGCGCCGCAUUAGCUAGUUGGUAAGGUAACGGCUUACCAAGGCAACGAUGCGUAGCCGACCUGAGAGGGUGAUCGGCCACACUGGAACUGAGACACGGUCCAGACUCCUACGGGAGGCAGCAGUAGGGAAUCUGCCGCAAUGGGCGAAAGCCUGACGGAGAAACGCCGCGUGAGUGAUGAAGGUCUUCGGAUCGUAAAACUCUGUUAUUAGGGAAGAACAAAUGUGUAAGUAACUAUGCACGUCUUGACGGUACCUAAUCAGAAAGCCACGGCUAACUACGUG
This 497-nucleotide ribosomal RNA is filed under the name uncultured bacterium. RNAcentral's name for it is "partial 16S ribosomal RNA". It matches the Rfam family "Bacterial small subunit ribosomal RNA", at positions 28 to 507 of the family's 1533-position model. The record is from RNAcentral.